UACAAGAAACGGGGUACACCUGGGAGG
RNAcentral lists this non-coding RNA (27 nucleotides) under Mus musculus (house mouse). Lineage: Eukaryota; Metazoa; Chordata; Mammalia; Rodentia; Muridae. The record is from RNAcentral.